This 31-nucleotide non-coding RNA is filed under the name Rattus norvegicus (Norway rat). The record is from RNAcentral. Lineage: Eukaryota; Metazoa; Chordata; Mammalia; Rodentia; Muridae.
UCAAAGCCUGGACAAUCCCCUACAACUGUUC